CAAUAGCGUAUACUAAAGUUGUUGCAGUUAAAAAGCUCGUAGUUGAAUUUCUGGAUGUGAAAGGUGGUCCGUUCCUCACGGAAUGCGUACUUUCCAUUUAUGUCCAUCCUCGGAGUUAGUGUGUAUUACUUUAAUCGGUCGUGCAUACAACCUCCGUCAUUUACUGUGAGCAAAAUAGAGUGUUCAAAGCAGGCUUAUGCCGUUGAAUAUAUUAGCAUGGAAUAAUAAGAUAUGACUUUGGUCUAUUUUGUUGGUUUGCACUCCAAAGUAAUGAUUAAUAGGGAUAGUUGGGGGUAUUCGUAUUCAAUUGUCAGAGGUGAAAUUCUUGGAUUUAUGGAAGACGACUACUGCGAAAGCAUUUCACGAAGAUUUGUUUACUAAUUGAAUACCGAAAAGUAACGGGGAAAGUUACGGGGAAGUACCGGAAAGUACUAGGAAUUACCCGUACGUAGUAACCGGUACCUUGGACCGAAACGGUCGACCCAAACGGAC
RNAcentral lists this ribosomal RNA (492 nucleotides) under uncultured eukaryote. Its description in RNAcentral is "bacterial SSU rRNA". It matches the Rfam family "Eukaryotic small subunit ribosomal RNA", at positions 592 to 1072 of the family's 1831-position model. The record is from RNAcentral.